Molecule: ribosomal RNA, 528 nt
Filed under: uncultured bacterium
Lineage: Bacteria
Description: bacterial SSU rRNA
Rfam family: Bacterial small subunit ribosomal RNA
Source: RNAcentral
AAAUAGAUACCCCCGGUAGUCCACGCCGUAAACGAUGAGUGCUAAGUGUUAGAGGGUUUCCGCCCUUUAGUGCUGCAGCUAACGCAUUAAGCACUCCGCCUGGGGAGUACGGUCGCAAGACUGAAACUCAAAGGAAUUGACGGGGGCCCGCACAAGCGGUGGAGCAUGUGGUUUAAUUCGAAGCAACGCGAAGAACCAUACCAGGUCUUGACAUCCUCUGACAACUCUAGAGAUAGAGCGUUCCCCUUCGGGGGACAGAGUGACAGGUGGUGCAUGGUUGUCGUCAGCUCGUGUCGUGAGAUGUUGGGUUAAGUCCCGCAACGAGCGCAACCCUUGAUCUUAGUUGCCAGCAUUUAGUUAGGCACUCUAAGGUGACUGCCGGUGACAAACCGGAGGAAGGUGGGGAUGACGUCAAAUCAUCAUGCCCCUUAUGACCUGGGCUACACACGUGCUACAAUGGAUGGUACAAAGGGCUGCAAGACCGCGAGGUCAAGCCAAUCCCAUAAAACCAUUCUCAGUUCGGAUUGU